RNAcentral lists this ribosomal RNA (447 nucleotides) under uncultured bacterium. RNAcentral's name for it is "bacterial SSU rRNA". It matches the Rfam family "Bacterial small subunit ribosomal RNA", at positions 355 to 825 of the family's 1533-position model. The record is from RNAcentral.
UGGGGAAUAUUGGACAAUGGGCGCAAGCCUGAUCCAGCCAUGCCGCGUGAACGAUGAAGGCCUUAGGGUUGUAAAGUUCUUUUGUCAGGGAAGAUAAUGACGGUACCUGAAGAAUAAGCACCGGCUAACUUCGUGCCAGCAGCCGCGGUAAUACGAAGGGUACUAGCGUUGUUCGGAAUCACUGGGCGUAAAGCGCGCGUAGGCGGCUUAACAAGUCAGAGGUGAAAGCCUGGAGCUCAACUCCAGAACUGCCUUUGAAACUGUUAAGCUUGAGUGUCGGAGGGGAUAGCGGAAUUUCUAAUGUAGAGGUGAAAUUCGUAGAUAUUAGAAGGAACACCGGUGGCGAAGGCGGCUAUCUGGACGACAACUGACGCUGAGGCGCGAAAGCGUGGGGAUCAAACAGGAUUAGAUACCCUAGUAGUCCCUGAGCGGGCUGGCAAGGCGCAU